Molecule: long non-coding RNA, 3890 nt
Organism: Anas platyrhynchos (mallard)
Lineage: Eukaryota; Metazoa; Chordata; Aves; Anseriformes; Anatidae
Source: RefSeq, a predicted model, not a curated record
ACAGCAUGAGAUGCACCAAAACUGGCACGGCAGGGGCUGCAGUGGCCUGCAUAAGUAAGGGGUAGGCAGCAAGGCAGGGGCCCCACCAGCCAGGACCCAGCCUCAAGACAGCACCCGAUCCAACAGAGAUCAUAGAUGAUCAGGCAUGUCAUGGUGAAGAGGCAGGUCCGAGGGAAAGCUGGGCUGUCAGUCCACAGGUUGGGAUCAGGCCCAGUGAGAGUAACCAGGGUUAAACACAGCCCGCUGAUACCAGACCCGUCUGCAGUGGUGCAACAGGUCCAAGGUUGAGCUGGGAAGCCAGUCAGUCAGUCUGUGAGUCAGCCUGGUCCAUAACGAGGCACAGGCGUGGCUGGAGCUGCCCCAAACAUCAGAACUCAGCACAGGUCAGGCACUGAAAGCCUGGGGCUGAGCUGAACUGGAGCUCCUGUGUCCACAGGUGUGGGAAGGGGCCCUCAGUGAGAUGGGUCAGGACCAUUAAAGUUUAUUAAGUGCACCCUGGGCCCUGAGAGAUUUCAGAGAAAACCAUAGUCCUGGGAUGGUUUUUGCUACUGUAGCUGCUUCAGCUAUCCUAUCUCAAGAAGAAGCAUAGAUUCCCUUGCUUACUUGCAAGCAGAAAUAAUAAUAAUAAAAAAAUAGAUAAUGAGGGGACAGCAGCCUCCAUUCCCAUGGAAUUGGGAUUAAACAAACAGGAAGGAACAGACCUUACUAAUUAACUCCUGAGGAAAAAAGAAUAGCAGACAGUAAUGGAAAGCAGGGCUCAGGAUACCUUGAAAGGUCAUCAAGAAGACUUUUGAUAUCCUUGGCCCAAAGAAUCAACUUAAGCUAUUGCUCGCAGAUAUCUGCUUUACCUGUUCUUGAACAUGGUGAGGACUUCAGAACUUCCUCAGAACCUGUCCAGUUGGUCAGAAUUCUUCCCCAGCUGUGGUGCCCCAAGCCAGAGAGAAACCUUUUCAAGCCUUCAGAAGAAUAAGAGCCACUUUGUAUGCCUUACAAAUAGCCCUCCUUUCUACAAACUCCAAUACAGGGAUUACAUCUUCAGUAAAGGUAUGCUGCUGUCUCAUGUUCACCUUGGGAACUACUUAUCGUCUCCAGCACAGAACUGUUGCUUAGUCAGUCCUUCCCCAUUUGCACUUAUGCAAAAGAUGACUUCUAUAAAAACACAGAAGUUAGUAUUCAUCUUUGUCGUUACAUGUCAUUCUUUGAGUCAAAUUCUUAAAAUAACUUCUUAAGAUCCUAAUCCUAUCUUGUAGUAUUUUUCCAGGUAGUAUCAUUAGCAUGAAAUGCUAAUCCAGUCUUCUAAAUCAUGAAUUAAAUAUUGUAUAGUCCCUGGAGAAUGUGCUUUAAUUCACCCAGUCUGACAAUGAAGCAUAAUUAACAGUUUCUUGAGAACAGCUUUCCAACCAGUUAUACAUCCAUCUAAUACAAAUUUAAUCUAGUCUACAUUUCCCUAUCACAAAUGACUCACAUGAAGCAAAGAAGAUGAACGUGGAAUCAGACAUCCCUGAAGGACUUGUCUGGCCACAAGAGUGAUAGUCACCUGCACAAAACUUCAGCUGAAGGCAGGCUCCUGCUAGAAGGGCUCCAGGAAAGGGAUGGCAUUGCAGAGCAGCAGAGAAGCAAUCUGCAAAGGAAGGUUUUGACACACGGCAUAUCUGAGAGGAGGUAGUGGUGAUGUGCAACCACAGCUGGUUGAAAUGGAUUAGCUUAUCCUUGAGCAGAUGGAUAGGAGAAGAUAAAAGAAGAAUGUGACAAAUUGUUACACUAUCAGCAAUGUCACCGUCAUCCUAAAUGCACAGCUGACUGCAUCCAGCAUCCGCUGGGAAAGGUCACAGGUAUGAGCAGGUCCUGUGCAGCUUCACCAUGAAAUCCACCCCUGAGGUGGUGGGCAGGAGACUGGUAAAACUCAUCAGCUCGAGGAGUUACCACAGCGACUGACAGCUGGAACAAACGACGUGAUGCUAAAGGACUCUGAAGAAAAGGUCUUUUUCCAAGUCUAUGUAAAUGUUUGAGACUCUUGCACCACACAGAUGAAAGCUGUUUUGUCCUUUCAGAUACAGCUGUGGUGAUUGCAGAGGAGGAAACCACAUGAAAAGAAAAGUAAUCUGGCCUUCUGGCAUGCAUUUGAUAUUUUCUGUCUAUUUUUGGAGCUUGGAGAACAGGAAGCGGGAAUAUUUAGUGACACGUUGACUAGACUGAAGAUGGCUUAAUUUCUGAGUAGAGCCAUCUUUACCAAUAUGAACUGUGAAGUAUGUCCAGAAAUCUAAUAAUGGCUCUAAUAUAUCUGACAGUCAGACACACAGAGAAGAGUCAUUUUUUAAAAUAUGUCCUGGAAAUGCUUCUCUUAGCCCAAAGAAAGAAGGGGCAGUGGCUCAGCUCUCAAAGAAAUUGAAAAACUUUUCUACUCAGCCAUUACAAAAGAAUCAGUAGCUCUCAUCGCUGAUGGCUCAGAGGAAUGGUCAAUAACAAAGGGAACAAUGUCAGCUAACAAGACCAAGCAGAGUAAUGCGAUCAUGUAUACCUCCUGCCUGACAGUACCCUGUUCCCAGUGGGAGAACAUUUUUCACAAAAGAACUUUGACCUCUCAGCCCACAACCUCAAAGCGACCACAAAAUACCUUCAACAGCUGAGCCUGGGAACAAAAAUUCAGAACUGCUGUAUGCACUAGAAAUCAUGGACUCGAUAAAAUACUGGGUUUAUGGCACGUUAUCAUCUUCCACGGCAGCUGACCUCCAACUCAUUUAUCAGUGUUCCACAGCUGUUAAUUUGCUCUCUUAUUUUAGCUCGGAGAAAUUCUUAACAUUUUUAUCUGCCUCUUUGGUCAUAGGGCAGGUGAUCAUGUAGGACAAUCACCAUUUUCUCCUGUACUGACUGUCUUAACUGAUUACCACAUUAGUUCAAAAUUAAGAAUUACUCCCAGUCUUGGCUUGAAGUCUGCCAGUUCUGUUCUGACGAACAGAAGGAUCUGCAUGCUUGAAAUUUUGUUUCUUCCACAUAUCUCCACUGGCCUAAUAUUAAUUCCCAGUUGUUAAUUCUACCUUCAAACCUGCCUCAGUUACAUCCUACAGUAUGCCAGCACUUUACAACAGGCUCCCAGUGCGUUGUUUUGUCAGAUGGUCUCCAGAGGGCCCUUCCAGCCUCAACCAUUCUGUGAUUCUGUGACUUCAAAAUAGUCAGUAGCUCAAAAGAGCAACUGUGGCCCCAUUGAAGAAAUUGGUGUGUGGCACCCUUCAGUCUGAAUUACCCAAGAGUUCAGACAAAAAUGUAAUGGUGCUUUUGGAUCUUAACAACUAGGUAUCUCUAAACAAAGCUGUUUUAGGCCAAAUAAGUGUAGGGCAAGGGAAAAAAAAAAAUGGAAGAAAGGAAAAGUACCCUACCAUGGCAGGAUUUGCAGAAUUAUUAAGGUAGUAGUUCAAAAGGACAGAUUUACCUAUGUUUUGUAAAGAUCACAGAAGGUAAUCAGGUAGCAAGCUUAAAAGAAAGAUAAAGAACUUUUAUACAUGCAUCUCAAACAUGAAACUCUUUGCUGCAGGAUCUUGUAGGACUAUCAGCUGCAUAACUGGAAUUGCAAAGAGAUAAGACAGAUAUGGAUAGUAAUUUUAGCACUGGACCUAUUCAAAAUGAUAGCCCAGAUUUAACUUUGAUUCAGGAAGUCUACAUACUAGUUAUGUUUCAUAUAUCCUUCCCCUACUAUGAUUCCAGUUGGCUGCUGCUGAGGAUGUGACACAAGCCUAGACAGACCUUUCAUCUUGUAUAGCAUGGCAGUAAUGGAAUGGUGGUCUUAUGAGGGGAGAAAAUACAUGGAAAUUGCAACUGGUGGAAAUACUUUUCCCCGUAAGUCCCCACUGGUGUCCUGAGUUCCUUCCUCUCUCCUUUUUGCUCAGAACUAUGCU